CCUACGGGAGGCAGCAGUGGGGAAUAUUGGGCAAUGGGCGCAAGCCUGACCCAGCAACGCCGCGUGAAGGAAGAAGGCUUUCGGGUUGUAAACCUCUUUUAAGAGGGAAGAGCAGAAGACGGUACCUCUUGAAUAAGCCACGGCUAACUACGUGCCAGCAGCCGCGGUAAUACGGAGGUGGCAAGCGUUGUCCGGAUUUACUGGGUUUAAAGGGCGUGCAGGCGGGAAGACAAGUCAGGUGUGAAAUCCCGCGGCUUAACCGCGGAAGUGCAUUUGAAACUGGUUUUCUUGAGUACCGGAGAGGUAAUCGGAAUGCGUUGUGUAGCGGUGAAAUGCGUAGAUAUAAGGAAGAACACCGGUGGCGAAGGCGGAUGACUGGACGACAACUGACGGUGAGGCGCGAAAGCGUAGGGAGCAAACGGGAUUAGAUACCCGUGUAGUC
Molecule: ribosomal RNA, 442 nt
Filed under: uncultured bacterium
Lineage: Bacteria
Description: partial 16S ribosomal RNA
Rfam family: Bacterial small subunit ribosomal RNA
Source: RNAcentral